UACAGUCUCAUUUUCAUUUUCUUGUAAUUAUUCUAUUCUCCUUUUUUCUUUUUCAUUUUCUUGUAAUUAUUCUUUUUUCUUUUUUCUUUUUCAUUUUCUACUUAUAAUUACUAUUUUAGCAUAUUUUUUAAUCUGUGUAACUUAUGUUAAUGGUUUAAUUAUCAGAAUAUAGAAGAUGACAUUUUAUGUUCUUAAGGAUAUAAGUAUAUAUUUAAUUAAUUUUGAUGUUCAAUACAUAUCUUUCUAAACUAAUUAAUGUCAAGGUUUGUUACUCAUUACAUGUUUGAUUGAUUUAUAGAAUUGAGGAUGUACUUAAUACAAAUAUUUAGCUUACAUUACUUAAUAGAAAUCUCUGGUUCAUAAUCAGUUUAUGAUUGUAUAAACAAAAUACAAAGGGUAAAAAAAUACGUACUGCUGAAAAAUUGUCAUAUUUUCCUUUUUUUUCUAUCUUUUAUGAGUAAUUUUCUUUCUUAUCUAUCAAAUGUACAGAUCAAGUGAUUUCUGAUAUAGGUUGAUCUUUUGAAGGUUACACAUCUCUAACUUGUUUAUUUUGUCACUCUAUUCAUCUGUGUUUCCUCUUAUUUUCAAUUUUAUUCUUGCAUCACCAAUGAUUAUGAUAGGGUUUUUCGUAUUGUUUUGAUGAGAUUGAGAUGUUUGUUAGGAUUAUGAGGAUCUCACAAUAAUAAAGUUGGUGCUAAUGUAACACUAGAAAAAUGAUUGGGUUGGUUUCCUUUAAUACAUACGGUCUCAUUUUCAUUGUCUUGUAAUUAUUCUAUUUUCUUUUUUUCUUUUUCAUUUUCUUGUAAUUAUUCUUUUUUCUUUUUUUCUUUUUCAUUUUCUACUUAUAAUUAGUAUUUUAGCAUAUUUUUUAAUCUAUAUAACUUAUGUUAAUUGUUUAAUUAUCAGAAUAUAGAAGAUGACAUUUUAUGUUCUUUAGGAUAUAAGUAUAUAUUUAAUUAAUUUUGAUGUUCAAUACAUAUCUUUCUAAACUAAUUAAUGUCAAGGUUUGUUACUCAUUACAUGUUUGAUUGAUUUAUAUAAUUGAGGAUGUACUUAAUAUAAAUAUUUAGCUUACAUUAUUUAAUAGAAAUCUCUGGUUCAUAAUCACUUUAUGAUUGUAUAAACAAAAUACAAAGGGUAAAAAAAUACGUACUGCUGAAAAAUUGUCAUAUUUUCCUUUUUUUUCUAUCUUUUAUGAGUAAUUUUCUUUCUUAUCUAUCAAAUGUACAGAUCAAGUGAUUUCUGAUAUAGGUUGAUCUUUUGAAGGUUACACAUCUCUAACUUGUUUAUUUUGUCACUCUAUUCAUCUGUGUUUCCUCUUAUUUUCAAUUUUAUUCUUGCAUCACCAAUGAUUAUGAUAGGGUUUUUCGUAUUGUUUUGAUGAGAUUGAGAUGUUUGUUAGGAUUAUGAGGAUCUCACAAUAAUAAAGUUGGUGCUAAUGUAACACUAGAAAAAUGAUUGGGUUGGUUUCCUUUAAUACAUACGGUCUCAUUUUCAUUGUCUUGUAAUUAUUCUAUUUUCUUUUUUUCUUUUUCAUUUUCUUGUAAUUAUUCUUUUUUCUUUUUUUCUUUUUCAUUUUCUACUUAUAAUUAGUAUUUUAGCAUAUUUUUUAAUCUAUAUAACUUAUGUUAAUUGUUUAAUUAUCAGAAUAUAGAAGAUGACAUUUUAUGUUCUUUAGGAUAUAAGUAUAUAUUUAAUUAAUUUUGAUGUUCAAUACAUAUCUUUCUAAACUAAUUAAUGUCAAGGUUUGUUACUCAUUACAUGUUUGAUUGAUUUAUAUAAUUGAGGAUGUACUUAAUAUAAAUAUUUAGCUUACAUUAUUUAAUAGAAAUCUCUGGUUCAUAAUCACUUUAUGAUUGUAUAAACAAAAUACAAAGGGUAAAAAAAUACGUACUGCUGAAAAAUUGUCAUAUUUUCCUUUUUUUUCUAUCUUUUAUGAGUAAUUUUCUUUCUUAUCUAUCAAAUGUACAGAUCAAGUGAUUUCUGAUAUAGGUUGAUCUUUUGAAGGUUACACAUCUCUAACUUGUUUAUUUUGUCACUCUAUUCAUCUGUGUUUCCUCUUAUUUUCAAUUUUAUUCUUGCAUCACCAAUGAUUAUGAUAGGGUUUUUCGUAUUGUUUUGAUGAGAUUGAGAUGUUUGUUAGGAUUAUGAGGAUCUCACAAUAAUAAAGUUGGUGCUAAUGUAACACUAGAAAAAUGAUUGGGUUGGUUUCCUUUAAUACAUACGGUCUCAUUUUCAUUGUCUUGUAAUUAUUCUAUUUUCUUUUUUUCUUUUUCAUUUUCUUGUAAUUAUUCUUUUUUCUUUUUUUCUUUUUCAUUUUCUACUUAUAAUUAGUAUUUUAGCAUAUUUUUUAAUCUAUAUAACUUAUGUUAAUUGUUUAAUUAUCAGAAUAUAGAAGAUGACAUUUUAUGUUCUUUAGGAUAUAAGUAUAUAUUUAAUUAAUUUUGAUGUUCAAUACAUAUCUUUCUAAACUAAUUAAUGUCAAGGUUUGUUACUCAUUACAUGUUUGAUUGAUUUAUAUAAUUGAGGAUGUACUUAAUAUAAAUAUUUAGCUUACAUUAUUUAAUAGAAAUCUCUGGUUCAUAAUCACUUUAUGAUUGUAUAAACAAAAUACAAAGGGUAAAAAAAUACGUACUGCUGAAAAAUUGUCAUAUUUUCCUUUUUUUUCUAUCUUUUAUGAGUAAUUUUGUUUCUUAUCUAUCAAAUGUUAGGAUUAUGAGGAUCUCACAAUAAUAAACGUGGUGCUAGUGUAACACUGGAAAACAUAUUGAGUUGCUUUCCUUUAUACCAUACUGUCUCAUUUUAAAUUUGUUGUUAUUAUUCUAUUUUCUUUUUUUCUUUUUCAUUUUCUAGUAAUUAUUCUAUCUUAUUUUUUUAUUUUUCAUUUUCUACUUAUAAUUAGUAUUUUAGCAUAUUUUUUAAUUUGUAUAACUUAUGUUAAUUGUUUAAUUAUCAGAAUAUAGAAGAUGACAUUUUAUGUUCUUAAGGAUAUAAGUAUAUAUUUAAUUAAUUUUGAUAUUCAAUACAUAUCUUUCUAAACUAGUUAAUAUCAAGGUUUGUUACUCAUUACAUGUUUGAUUGAUUUAUAUAAUUGAGGAUGUACUUAUUAGAAAUAUUUAGCUUACAUUAUUUAAUAGAAAUCUCUGGUUCAUAUUCACUUUAUGAUUGUAUAAACAAACUUAUUAGAAAUAUUUAGCUUACAUUAUUUAAUAGAAAUCUCUGGUUCAUAUUCACUUUAUGAUUGUAUAAACAAAAUACAAAGGGUAGAAAAAUACGUACUGCUGAAAAAUUGUCAUAUUUUUUUUUCUAUCUUUUAUGAGUAAUUUUCCUUCUUUUCU
This 3338-nucleotide long non-coding RNA is filed under the name Lathyrus oleraceus (garden pea). Its description in RNAcentral is "Pisum sativum (pea) long non-coding RNA (PSAT_LNC039867)". The record is from RNAcentral. Lineage: Eukaryota; Viridiplantae; Streptophyta; Magnoliopsida; Fabales; Fabaceae.